UACAGAGGUCUCAAGCGUUGUUCGGAUUCAUUGGGCGUAAAGGGCGCGUAGGCGGCUAGGUAAGUCAGGUGUGAAAUCUCGGGGCUCAACUCCGAAACUGCACUUGAUACUGCCUUGCUAGAGUACUGGAGAGGAGAGUGGAAUUUACGGUGUAGCGGUGAAAUGCGUAGAUAUCGUGAGGAAGACCAGUGGCGAAGGCGAAUCUCUGGACAGGUACUGACACUGAGGCGCGAAAGCCAGGGGAGCAAACGGG
RNAcentral lists this ribosomal RNA (253 nucleotides) under uncultured bacterium. RNAcentral describes it as "partial 16S ribosomal RNA". It matches the Rfam family "Bacterial small subunit ribosomal RNA", at positions 524 to 776 of the family's 1533-position model. The record is from RNAcentral.